UACGUAGGGUGCAAGCGUUAAUCGGAAUUACUGGGCGUAAAGCGUGCGCAGGCGGUUAUGUAAGACAGGUGUGAAAUCCCAGGGCUUAACCUUGGAACUGCAUUUGUGACUGCAUAGCUAGAGUACGGUAGAGGGGGAUGGAAUUCCGCGUGUAGCAGUGAAAUGCGUAGAUAUGCGGAGGAACACCGAUGGCGAAGGCAAUCCCCUGGGCCUGCACUGACGCUCAUGCACGAAAGCGUGGGGAGCAAACAGG
This 253-nucleotide ribosomal RNA is filed under the name uncultured bacterium. RNAcentral describes it as "partial 16S ribosomal RNA". It matches the Rfam family "Bacterial small subunit ribosomal RNA", at positions 524 to 776 of the family's 1533-position model. The record is from RNAcentral.